UGGGGAAUAUUGGACAAUGGGGGAAACCCUGAUCCAGCAAUGCCGCGUGAGUGAAGAAGGCCUUAGGGUUGUAAAGCUCUUUCGCCCGCGAAGAUAAUGACGGUAGCGGGAGAAGAAGCCCCGGCUAACUCCGUGCCAGCAGCCGCGGUAAUACGGAGGGUGCGAGCGUUGUUCGGAAUUACUGGGCGUAAAGCGCGUGCAGGCGGUCUCUUAAGUCUGGUGUGAAAGCCCGGGGCUCACCCCCGGAAGGGCACUGGAGACUGGGAGGCUAGAAUACCGGAGAGGAAGGUGGAAUUCCUGGUGUAGCGGUGAAAUGCGUAGAUAUCAGGAGGAACACCGGUGGCGAAGGCGGCCUUCUGGACGGCUACUGACGCUGAGACGCGAAAGCGUGGGGAGCAAACA
RNAcentral lists this ribosomal RNA (402 nucleotides) under uncultured bacterium. RNAcentral describes it as "bacterial SSU rRNA". It matches the Rfam family "Bacterial small subunit ribosomal RNA", at positions 355 to 774 of the family's 1533-position model. The record is from RNAcentral.